GGCUGGUCCAAAAGUAGUAAGUUAUUUUAAUUGAUCACAGUCAGUUAUAGAUUGAACUCCUUUUUCUAUUCUUUCCUCUUCUCACUACUGCAUCUGACUAGUGGGAA
RNAcentral lists this Y RNA (107 nucleotides) under Microcebus murinus (gray mouse lemur). RNAcentral's name for it is "Y RNA (ENSMICG00000034566.2)". It matches the Rfam family "Y RNA". From Rfam's summary of the family: Y RNAs are components of the Ro ribonucleoprotein particle (Ro RNP), in association with Ro60 and La proteins. Lineage: Eukaryota; Metazoa; Chordata; Mammalia; Primates; Cheirogaleidae. The record is from RNAcentral.